Molecule: ribosomal RNA, 416 nt
Filed under: uncultured bacterium
Lineage: Bacteria
Description: bacterial SSU rRNA
Rfam family: Bacterial small subunit ribosomal RNA
Source: RNAcentral
GAUGAACGCUGGCGGUGCGCCUAAUGCAUGCAAGUCGAGCGACACACUCCCAGUCCGUAAGGACAGGGUUUGAUGGAGCGGCGAACGGGUGAGUAACACGUGAGCAACCUGCCCCACAGAUCGGGAUAGCCCAGGGAAACCUGGAUUAAUACCGGAUACCCUCUGAGAUCCGCAUGGAUCAUUGAGGAAAGGCCUUUGUGCUGUGGGAUGGGCUCGCGACUUAUCAGUUAGUUGGUGGGGUAACGGCCUACCAAGACAAUGACGAGUAGCUGGUCUGAGAGGACGAUCAGCCACACUGGAACUGAGACACGGUCCAGACUCCUACGGGAGGCAGCAGCAGGGAAUCUUGCGCAAUGGGCGAAAGCCUGACGCAGCGACACCGCGUGGGGGAUGAAGGCCUUUCGGGUUGUAAACCC